Molecule: long non-coding RNA, 519 nt
Organism: Symphalangus syndactylus (siamang)
Lineage: Eukaryota; Metazoa; Chordata; Mammalia; Primates; Hylobatidae
Source: RefSeq, a predicted model, not a curated record
GGAAUAAACUGCAAAAUCCUUAAGGUUACAAAAGUAUCUGUAAGAUGCCUGAGGUCUGCCUAGACAUUGGAGAGGAUCCAAAGUAUAGUCCAAAGGAUAGUCACCUAUCCUAGGUGAGGGUAGAAGUGACCCAUCAUGAAAAAACAUCAGUCAAAUCCCCAGGAACAAAUUGUGAAAGCCCUAAGCAUCCAAAAGAAUCUGCAGAAUUCUACAGGCCUGCCUAGACGUUGUAGGGGAGGCUUUUGGGUCCUCUGACUCGAAUCUUUGAGUGUUUCUUGGACUCCAGGACAAGUCAGCUUAUUCUCUCAGGGUUUCCUCGGUCUAGAUGAACCACUGUGGUCUCAGGAAUCAUUGAACACUGCUUGGACUCCAGCACAAGGCACCUCAUUCUCUCCGGGAUGCCAUCACCACCCACAGCCUCUGAGACACUGUCUCAACCACAUCUGCACCACUGAGAGGGGAAUCCAAAGUACUGCUCCACAUUGGACUUGCAUUUGUAAUCAUUCCUGCCUUUCCCAG